GGAUUAGAUACCCUGGUAGUCCACGCCGUAAACGAUGUCUAUUAGCCGUUGGGGAACUUGAUUCCUUAGUGGCGCAGCUAACGCGAUAAAUAGACCGCCUGGGGAGUACGGUCGCAAGAUUAAAACUCAAAUGAAUUGACGGGGGCCCGCACAAGCGGUGGAGCAUGUGGUUUAAUUCGAUGCAACGCGAAGAACCUUACCAAGACUUGACAUCCAGAGAAUUCGCUAGAGAUAGCUUAGUGCCUUCGGGAACUCUGAGACAGGUGCUGCAUGGCUGUCGUCAGCUCGUGCCG
RNAcentral lists this ribosomal RNA (293 nucleotides) under uncultured bacterium. Its description in RNAcentral is "partial 16S ribosomal RNA". It matches the Rfam family "Bacterial small subunit ribosomal RNA", at positions 775 to 1067 of the family's 1533-position model. The record is from RNAcentral.